Molecule: ribosomal RNA, 253 nt
Filed under: uncultured bacterium
Lineage: Bacteria
Description: partial 16S ribosomal RNA
Rfam family: Bacterial small subunit ribosomal RNA
Source: RNAcentral
UACGGGGGGGGCAAGCGUUGUUCGGAAUUACUGGGCGUAAAGGGCUCGUAGGUGGCCAACUAAGUCAGACGUGAAAUCCCUCGGCUUAACCGGGGAACUGCGUCUGAUACUGGAUGGCUUGAGUUUGGGAGAGGGACGCGGAAUUCCAGGUGUAGCGGUGAAAUGCGUAGAUAUCUGGAGGAACACCUGUGGCGAAAGCGGCGCACUGGACCACAACUGACGCUGAGGCGCGAAAGCUAGGGGAGCAAACAGG